AUAUUGAAAUGCCGGCUCUCGUCAGAUCACCGAAAUUAAGCAACGUUGGAGUUGGUCAGUACCGAGAUGGGUGAUCGCUUGAGAAUAUUAUAU
Acanthosepion pharaonis is the source of this 93-nucleotide non-coding RNA. The record is from the annotation of a GenBank genome assembly. Lineage: Eukaryota; Metazoa; Mollusca; Cephalopoda; Sepiida; Sepiidae.